GGGGUUGUGGUAGUGGUAGAGCGCCCACCUAUCAUGUGUGAGGCACUGGGUUCAAUCCUCAGCACCACA
RNAcentral lists this transfer RNA (69 nucleotides) under Marmota monax (woodchuck). RNAcentral's name for it is "tRNA.Asp". Lineage: Eukaryota; Metazoa; Chordata; Mammalia; Rodentia; Sciuridae. The record is from RNAcentral.